GACGAACGCUGGCGGCGUGCUUAAAACAUGCAAGUCGAACGGACUUCUCAUGAAGCUUGCGAUUGAGAAGUUAGUGGCGGACGGGUGAGUAACGCGUGGGCAACCUGCCCCUGAGCCCGGGAUAACAGUUCGAAAGGACUGCUAAGACCGGAUAUACUUGCGGUGAAGCAUUUCACUGCAAGGAAAGGGAACGCUCAGGGAUGGGCCCGCGUCCCAUUAGCUAGUUGGUGAGGUAACGGCCCACCAAGGCGACGAUGGGUAGCCGGCCUGAGAGGGUGAACGGCCACACUGGGACUGAGACACGGCCCAGACUCCUACGGGAGGCAGCAGUUGGGAAUCUUCGGCAAUGGGCGCAAGCCUGACCGAGCAACGCCGCGUGAGUGAUGAAGGUUUUCGGAUUGUAAAGCUCUGUCUUCGGGACGAUAAUGACGGUACCGGAGGAGGAAGCCACGGGCUAACUACGUG
RNAcentral lists this ribosomal RNA (465 nucleotides) under uncultured bacterium. Its description in RNAcentral is "bacterial SSU rRNA". It matches the Rfam family "Bacterial small subunit ribosomal RNA", at positions 28 to 507 of the family's 1533-position model. The record is from RNAcentral.